CGGUAAGUCUACAACAAGAGACAGAUACUUUACUUCAGUGGUCAGAUACCAAAGUAGAGAAAGCUGGAGAACGUAUAUUUCGUGUUGGUUCAGUUCGCUACAUAAUGGAUCCUUCCAGGCAGACACUUCAGAGGAUUUCAGAUGAUGAAUCCCUGUCCUCUGCCUCAAUCAAUCUGGUUUGCUCAUGUUGUUUUAUCUUUUAAAAGAUGAAUUGGUCUCUCUCAUACUUGGCUGAUGUCAUGUUUUCUUUAUAAAU
Long non-coding RNA from Trifolium pratense (red clover), 256 nucleotides. RefSeq lists it as uncharacterized. The transcript is spliced from 3 exons. NCBI's taxonomy places the organism in Eukaryota, Viridiplantae, Streptophyta, Magnoliopsida, Fabales, Fabaceae. The record is from RefSeq and is a predicted model, not a curated record.